CCAAGCCGAGUUCCAGCCUGCUGGGGAGUGGCUGGGAGCCCAAGGGGCAUUUCAGAGGGGCCUCACGAGGGGACGCCUUCAGGCACGGGCGGAAAUUGUGCGUCCUCCUCGGGCUGUGCAGCAUCCUCAUCUUCCCUGUGGGCCUUGAUGAUCCACCGAAUGUUCGCCCGUUCCACGCUGGCUUAAAAUAGAAACGACAGCUCCACAAAGGCGUCUUUCCUCCUCCUACUUUGCCCUCCCUCAACAUCGUCAGCCUCCCCCCCCAAGCGGCACCAGUACCGACACCACUGCGGCCAUUGCGCGUCAUCUGCGACAUGCACUGCGUGAGAGCAGCCGCAUCAUCACCGCAUCUCGCUUCCACGCACUCGCAGAGUCGCAAGCCCCAGCCAGCCAGCCAGCAAGCCUCGGACGGCCCACUAACCAUCAUUGGCGGGGGCUGCAGGCGGAGCCCAUCGAGCUGUCACUCAAAGGGAGGAAAAAUAACGGAAUUGAUGCAAAAGUGUCAAAAUGUAAUGUCAUUUUUUUUAUAAUCACGAUAAUAACAAUAUCCAUCAAAACUAUUUUCAUUUCAGAAAAAUCUUGGUUUCUUUUUAUUAUACUGCUUUUUUCCCCCUUGUGUUCCUAUUGUAUCCCUUAGCGCUCAGAAAGACUAAAACUGAAUUGAAUUAUUAUUACUGUUAA
Syngnathus acus (greater pipefish) is the source of this 681-nucleotide long non-coding RNA. RefSeq lists it as uncharacterized. The record is from RefSeq and is a predicted model, not a curated record. The transcript is spliced from 2 exons. Lineage: Eukaryota; Metazoa; Chordata; Actinopteri; Syngnathiformes; Syngnathidae.